UUGCCUUCAUCAGUCUCACCUGUGUCUUGUCUGUCACACCUGUUUCAUCGCUCCCUGUAUUUAGUCUGUUUCUUCCCAUCUGUGUUAGUGUUUGUCAGACUUUUCCUGUUGUCCCCUGUAUUGUAUUGUUGAAUUUCCUUGUGGCUUCUUGUGUUUUUCCACCUGUUUCAUGGACCUUUACAUUUGGACAUUGUUGUUUCUUUUGGAAUUUGAAACUGUCCGCCACCUCUGGUCAUAGAAGCGACGCAGGACUCUCUGUCUUCUGUGGCACUUGCACCUGAGGAGCCGGGUGAAGGCGCGCUUGAACUCUUUGCUGGAGCAGGGGUAGAUGACGGGGUUGAUGCAGCUGUUGAAGUAGCCCAGCCAGAAGAUCACCUUGAAGACGGUUUCGGAUGGCUUCAGUGCUGGGAAGAAGGAACCUAGAUGGGAGAUGGAGCUAUCAGCUUGGAUUAAACACAGUGUUGACCCUGGACACAGAGGCAACAUAUCACAGUGCUAAUGUCAAAGUCGGCACUCCCUGGGGGAAAAGUCCGUUUUCAAUUUGAGCCUGGUUGUACAAUGUAGAAAUAUAAAAUGGCUUGUCUUUGACUUUCAGAUAAACGGUUCGUAUGGUUUUGACAUUAGAAUAUUAACAAUAUAAUUCUCUUAAAGUUGUAUAUCUUUAUUUCUGCAGCAUGCGUAUUUCCUUAUCUGAUACUAUACUCACAUCUUAAAUGUAU
This is a long non-coding RNA of Labrus mixtus (cuckoo wrasse), 719 nucleotides long. RefSeq lists it as uncharacterized. The transcript is spliced from 3 exons. Lineage: Eukaryota; Metazoa; Chordata; Actinopteri; Labriformes; Labridae. The record is from RefSeq and is a predicted model, not a curated record.